Molecule: long non-coding RNA, 3540 nt
Organism: Fukomys damarensis (Damara mole-rat)
Lineage: Eukaryota; Metazoa; Chordata; Mammalia; Rodentia; Bathyergidae
Exons: 5
Source: RefSeq, a predicted model, not a curated record
CUGGCCUCGAAACUCAAGAUGAUCCUCCAGCCUCAGCCUCCUAAAUUCUGGGAUUAUAGGUGUAAACCACCCCACCCAGCUCUAUCUUUAUAAAGUGCAGAAGAGAGAAAAACUAGUAAAAGCUGAAAAAAUGAAAAAAACAUUUUAAACCAGGAAGUUUAAGCUUAGGCCAGGAAGGACACAGGGUGGAGAUCCUCCAGGGUGAGGACAUUGCCUAUGUGGCUUUCAGGGGACCUGGGUAUGAAAGAGCUGGCAUUACAUCCAGUGUUUAGGUCAGCUAGCAUUGUAUUAGUGUCUUUUGUAAACUCACUGAUCAUUUUGUUUAAUCUCCUUAUCAUUUUGAAUAAUUCAGAAGUUUGGGGUUUUUUUUCUCCCCUGUGGAUCAGCUUUGGGAGGAUCUGGAAGUGCUUGGAGGCAUUUUGUUGCCUUGUCUUCUUGUUUCUUGCCUUGUUUCUGUGGUGGGGGGGAUGAUUUCUUCAUUGAUUGUGCCCAAAGCAGGCUGUAGGCAGGCUUUAAAGAAUUAACCCUGUGAUUGGCUUGUUUAAAGAAGUGAGUCCAACUGAAGACUGCAUGACUCAAUGCAUCGUUGUGGAUGGCUUGUGGGUCAAUGUCACCCCCCUUGCCCACAGCCAUGGCAGAGGCCAGAGUGACACCCUGUGAAGCUGUGGGGCUCAAGGUGAGGUAACAUAGCAGCUGAGCUUGGGGUGACUCACAGCCAAAUUCCAUUCCGCAAAUUAAAACUUUCUUUACUAAAAAGACAAGGUUGAUUAUUAACCACAACCUCUAUUUUUUCUGUUCUGUUCCGAAUUCAAGAAUACUUUGUCUCUUCCUUUUUAAGCCUUGCCUACAUCAGCAACAUACCCAUAGCAACUCCAUGCAGCCCCUUUACCUCAGUCUUGACUAUGAUGUCACCAACGAAUAUCAGCAGUUUUGGUUGGUUUGCUGCUUGCUCAGCACUGGCCAUUCUGGCUCUCCAUUUCUCUCUUUAACUCUGCCUCUGCCUCUGAUUCUUUCUUCUAGCCAUGCAUCACAGCACACAGCAGUAGGUCUGGACCUGCUGCAGAGGUCCUUGUUAUGUGUGUGUGUGUGAGACAUUUUUACUGGGUUUAUAGAAAACUGAUAAACAGAAAGCUCACAUUUGGGGACUAACAAAUCUUUCUGGUCAAGAACAUGGAGCCAUCUUCCCAUUUCCUUUGCCUUGUAAGGUUCCUCAGUAAAGAACAUACAUGUACAGGUGAAAAAUGAUAGAAAAUGGAUACUAGAUUUUAUUAGAAUAAGUUUUAGCCCUGAAUUUUUGACCCCCCUCCCAUACCCCUAGCCCUGAAUUUGAUACAUCAUGGGAAAUAUUGUGAUGGCCAACCCGACUCCAUCUUGUGCCUCAGUGUCACUUGGUACCUGUGCUCGAACAAAGUGCUUGCCUUUGAACAAAGCACCCCAACACCCCACAUCCUGCUUGGCAGUAAACUCGCUGCAGUUGUAGGAUGUUUCGUAGCUCACCUAGUGCGUGUGAAACUUCCUUGUGCUCCCCACUAACCUGGCAUGGUUCUGCUUCUGUAAGAUUCUGCUUGCUCUCUGCUGAGCCCACCCCAACUGAAAGCAUGAUUUAAAAGGAGAAAUCAAACUGCUUCCUGUUGCCAAGAGAACUUUCUGGGCACCAGCCCCUCCUCAACUGCUGGCUUUAAUAAAUGGGCUCAAAUCUGGCACAGAGUGUGGGCCAUCUCUAUUGUUCUAACUCCCUCAUCCGUAACGAUAUUUCAUAGUGCACUUUUUUACAGUGAACAUAACAGUUCUCAUUGUGAUAAAUAAAACACACAUUUAUUACCACAGUGAAAUCGCUUUUAAGUAGUCAAUAAAAUGAUCUAUAACUGAUUGAAAGUUGUUUUUAUUUUGCUGCUCAUUAAUAUUUUGCUGCCUUGGGAUAGAGCCCCCUCAAAGAUUCCCACCGAUGCCUCUUCCCCUCCGCAUCUGCUCCGGCCCUCUUAACCCUCAGACUGGUUGCUGCUCCUGCACUGUCCUGGGCCCGCCUGCAGCCCCUCCCCAGCAGCCCUAUUACCUGUACUUCUUCUUGUCUCUGUCACUGAUGUUUUUCCCCAGAAGGAGAAGAUGCUACACUCUGGCCGUGUCGCCCGUGCUGGCAGCCUUGUAGAGACUGCCCACGGUCCUGGGGUGGAAGCUGUGCUGCGGACCCGAAAGUGCCCUUCAAGCCUGCAGGGCCAAGAGCGCCUGGCCCCUACUGAUGAGGCCCAAGAUCCACCUUACAGCUAAGGCUACUGGAACCCGAGCAACCGCCCUCCCCUUCAGCCUUUCUCUGCCUCUGAAGUUAAAACAGCCCAGCCUGCUGCUGAGUCCCAACCUUCCCAACCUUCCCACCCGUCCCAACUGUCCCAGCCGCUAGUUUCCGCUGCCAGCUUCCAACUGGGUGGAAUCUCCAACCCCCAGCGACGCGACUAACCGCCCCUGCUCAUGGCUCCGCAGGCGCAUGCUCACCAGGCCUUCUCAGUAGCAGGUGCGCCUGUGCAGUGGGGCCUGCAGGAUGCUGCGCUCCGAAGCGGUGUGAGCAGUCCUGGGGCCUGACAGCACCCGGGGCCACUGACCAAGGCAGAGUGCUGAAGACCAUGGAGAUCAUCCUUGUGGCAGGACAAGGAACCACGUACGGUGCUUCAAGGUGACAGGCAUCGUGGUGAGACGCUGCCUGCUUCAGCCUUCUCCUGAAAAGACCGGGGAUGGACCUCAAAGCUCUGAGAACGGGUAUUCUCUGUGUGCACAGGGGAGCCCAUUUCCUCACACGGGGCCAGCCUGGAUUUCGGCUUUGUCACUGCUUUGAGCUGGCACACACCAACCGGCACACUUCCCUGCCUGUGCAUUUUGGCAGCCUGUGAACAGGAAGUGCGGGGCAGCAGAUUUCCAGGAAUGAAACCCUUCCAACAAAGAAGAAAUGAACUGACAGGAUGAGGGAGGCCAGGACCUUGAGAAACAUGCUGAGCAGUCAAAGAUCGCAGGAAGCUGUGCUCCAGGCAAGUUGAUGCCAACAAAAGACAUGGUACAGACAGAAGCGAUGCCAGGGUGACGGAAAAGCUAGAGCAGCACGCACAGAUCCCUGCGCACAAGAGCACCAACGGCCCCCGAGAAAUCGGGCUUUUGGAAUGUGAAAAAUCCGCGCCUCUGGGAUGGGGCCUCCCCUUAAGCUGGACAUGGCUCAGGACGGACUCGUGCUCCAGGAGGAAGGUGAGAGGCACGUGGCCCAGAGCCCUUCCUGGAUCAGCCACUAAUCUGCAAACUCCAGAGGGCCUUGCCCAUGGAAGGGGAAGCCCAUACUCUGCCAGUGGGCUCCCCUCGUCAUCAAGGUCCUGACUUCCGGCCGAGCCCCAGGACAGCCGCUCUGCAGCCACAGGGUGUGUGCAAGGGUUCGCCACACACCAGGCCCGGAAGCGGGUCAGUAAAGCACAAGUAGUACCACCGUGAGCAAGCAGCGGCCGGAAACUGCAAGUGCCCUCGACCACAGAACUUCCAGGGCCUCCAGCUCACUUCAGAGGAAUAUCU